This is a long non-coding RNA of Pecten maximus, 2236 nucleotides long. RefSeq lists it as uncharacterized. Lineage: Eukaryota; Metazoa; Mollusca; Bivalvia; Pectinida; Pectinidae. The record is from RefSeq and is a predicted model, not a curated record. The transcript is spliced from 3 exons.
AAGGUUUUCGACGUCCUGAUAGCAGAUGGUAAUCUGUACCAAACCGACUACUAUCUCUCCGAAACAUCAGACGGCUGUUAGAGGAUGAUUAUUUUUAUGACAACGGCGAAAGGGAAACUUUACACAUAGGCAACCGGAGAGAUUAACAAAUCAUUAAUUGCGUAUUUUACGUGGAUAUCAGGGAUCUAUCAUUCCCGUGAACAAAAUGGCGUCUAUACUUGAGAAGCUGUUUUUACAAAGGAUGACUGUAUUGGUGGCAAUGGUUGUGUUGGCGGGAAUACUUGUAUGGACUAUUUACAACAUGAUGAUAAAAGAACCUAAUGGUAUACAGCCAGAUGGUUCCUUUAAUGGUUGACAACUUCCGUAACGCUGGACUUAGAAACGACACCAGUCACAUUGUUGCGAUGCUUUUCUGACAUACCCAUAAUGGUUGGAAUCAAUUUUGAUACUUCCUUCUCAUCUUUUUUGUUUUCAUUUUUGCUGUUAAUUCAAUUAAAGUCAAAUUUGUUACAAACAACUUUCAAUUAAUCUUGUAACAUCAAUUGGUAGUUAAGCAAACACGUUAAACGAACAGAGCGACGCAGUUGAUUACAAAGUUGUCUUUACGCAACAUUAAGUACAUUUAAGUUGGUGUGUAUAUAUGUGAUGUGACAGUAAUAUGUAUCUGUUGCAAAUAUGAUUUAUUGUGAAAAUUUAUAUCCUUGUCGGACAAUUGAGGCAUUGAAUGUGUUGUUGGAUAUGAUACCCUAAGUUAUUAUAUGCUGUGGUGAGGAAUGGAGACCCAAAAUAUCUGUGGCGUUUUUGUUUGUUUGUUUUUUCAAUCCCACAUUGUCUUUUUAUGAUAUACACUACAGAGUUUCACUUAUCAAAUAUCUCUUAAUCACACCUGCCACAUAUAUGGAUUGAAUAGAUUUUUUAAAUUUUCAUUGCGGCUAUGAAUACCAGUAGCUAGUUACAUAUCCUCCGAUGCGCGCGGUAAUGUAAUUUUAUGCUUUAUAUAUGAAAAUGUCCUUAACUUUCCUAGAUACAUCCUCUUUGAUGGUGGCCUUAUAUAUUCACACGCCAUGUUGUUUGUUCGUGUUAUAGUUAGUAUACACAUCAAAGGCAGCUACGCCAUUAGCUUAAUCUAUACAAUAAACACGUUCACUAUUUAUAUUUUCCGAAAUUUUACUGUUAUUUUUCUCAUACAUUGUUUGUAAGAGUUAUGUCCCUUGCACCUUAGUCGGUACUCCUUUAUCCUUUUAGAUAGGAAGAGUGGUCACGAGACAUUUGCUUGAUCAAUUAAAGUCAGGGUACUCUGAGGCUCUCAUUAUCUGUCAACCAUCUUAGAUUUAGCUGUUCCAAUCCAGGAAAGUGUAUGGAUCUUUUCUGCAUAAUAACAAUCCUCUACCUCCCUUUCUUUGUCGAUCAACAUAAUGUUCUCCACUUCUGAAUAAUACAACAUUUUUACGCAUUAGUAAUAAUCAAAAGUAGGUGUCUUUGUGUAGCGUUUUGAUAGCCCCACAUCGGAAUUUUACGAUUAGUUUGUAUAGUAUAUUUAUGCAUUUUAUCUCUGUGUGUUAUGGCGGUCUUUGUUAACCCCAUAUGUUUACGAUAUGUAUGUUGGUAACAUGUUUUUGGAUAAAAGUAUCUUAACUGACUACAUUAGAUACAUUAUUAAAUCUAGUGUUUCGCCUCUGGUCAUUUUUCUAUCUACCGGGUAUAGUUUCCUCCUAACGGUGGAGUGCACCCUGGUCUCCAAAAGUGGAAUUUAGUCUAAAUUGUUCUGGUGCUGUUGUAACAUUUUUUUUUGUUUACAAUAUGUUCUGAAGAGUUACAUAAUAUAAGUAAUUUUCUGUUAGAUUUAUUAUUCUCUUAAAUUCUCCUCAAAUUCAUUAGAGAAGGUAUUGUUCUUUCUUGUUGUUAACUGAUAUUUUAUAUGCAGCACUUCGGUGCGGUAUAUUGAUAUAUCUGUGACAAAAUGCAGUUAACUUACCAGUAAAACAUAAACAAAAAUCUCACAUUUACAUUUUCACAGCUUUUCUUACUUAUGCUACUUGGAAAAUAUCAAUAAUAAUAAUCUAUUCUGCGUUAUACGCACCGACGGAAUUGUCUGACAACUGAUGGAAUAGUAAAACAAUUAAUUCUCAUUUGGCGGGAAAGGUUGUCACAGGGAAGUAAACAGAAUAUUGUUCCGUAAUAUCAUCAUAUAUUUAUCCCAUUUCUGUGAGAUGAAUUUAAACAUUUACAGCUUCAA